AAAGCGUGCGCAGGCGGUUAUAUAAGACAGAUGUGAAAUCCCCGGGCCUCAACCUGGGAACUGCAUUUGUGACUGUAUAGCUGGAGUGCGGCAGAGGGGGAUGGAAUUCCGCGUGUAGCAGUGAAAUGCGUAGAUAUGCGGAGGAACACCGAUGGCGAAGGCAAUCCCCUGGGCCUGCACUGACGCUCAUGCACGAAAGCGUGGGGAGCAAACAGGAUUAGAUCCCGUGU
RNAcentral lists this ribosomal RNA (230 nucleotides) under uncultured bacterium. RNAcentral describes it as "partial 16S ribosomal RNA". It matches the Rfam family "Bacterial small subunit ribosomal RNA", at positions 562 to 790 of the family's 1533-position model. The record is from RNAcentral.